This 785-nucleotide ribosomal RNA is filed under the name uncultured bacterium. RNAcentral's name for it is "bacterial SSU rRNA". It matches the Rfam family "Bacterial small subunit ribosomal RNA", at positions 8 to 796 of the family's 1533-position model. The record is from RNAcentral.
AGAGUUUGAUCCUGGCUCAGGAUGAACGCUAGCGGCAGGCUUAACACAUGCAAGUCGAGGGGUAUAGUAGCAAUACUAGAGACCGGCGCACGGGUGCGUAACGCGUAUGCAAUCUACCUUUUGCAGCGGGAUAGCCCAGAGAAAUUUGGAUUAAUACCGCAUAGUAUAGUACUUUGGCAUCAAGGCACUAUUAAAGUCACAACGGCAAAAGAUGAGCAUGCGUCCCAUUAGCUAGUUGGUAUGGUAACGGCAUACCAAGGCGACGAUGGGUAGGGGUCCUGAGAGGGAGAUCCCCCACACUGGUACUGAGACACGGACCAGACUCCUACGGGAGGCAGCAGUGAGGAAUAUUGGACAAUGGGCGAGAGCCUGAACCAGCCAUCCCGCGUGCAGGAUGACGGCCCUAUGGGUUGUAAACUGCUUUUCUGCUCCAAGAAACCCUGUUACGUGUAGCAGGUUGACGGUAGAGUAGGAAUAAGCAUCGGCUAACUCCGUGCCAGCAGCCGCGGUAAUACGGAGGAUGCAAGCGUUAUCCGGAUUCAUUGGGUUUAAAGGGUGCGCAGGUGGGAAUGUAAGUCAGUGGUGAAAUACUGCCGCUUAACGGUAGAGCUGCCAUUGACACUGCGUUUCUUGAGUAUGGUUGAGGUAGGUGGAAUGUGUUGUGUAGCGGUGAAAUGCAUAGAUAUGACACAGAACGCCGAUUGCGAAGGCAACUUACUAAGCCAUUACUGACGCUGAGGCACGAAAGCGUGGGUAGCGAACAGGAUUAGAUACCCUGGUAGUCC